RNAcentral lists this ribosomal RNA (713 nucleotides) under uncultured beta proteobacterium. Its description in RNAcentral is "bacterial SSU rRNA". It matches the Rfam family "Bacterial small subunit ribosomal RNA", at positions 63 to 741 of the family's 1533-position model. Lineage: Bacteria; Pseudomonadati; Pseudomonadota; Betaproteobacteria. The record is from RNAcentral.
UAAACGGACGCGCGGGGGCAACCCUGGCGGUUUAGUGGCGAACGGGUGAGUAAUAUAUCGGAACGUGCCCAGUCGUGGGGGAUAACGCAGCGAAAGCUGUGCUAAUACCGCAUACGAUCUACGGAUGAAAGCGGGGUGAUCGCAAGACCUCGCGCGAUUGGAGCGGCCGAUAUCAGAUUAGCUAGUUGGUGAGGUAAAGGCUCACCAAGGCGACGAUCUGUAGCUGGUCUGAGAGGACGACCAGCCACACUGGAACUGAGACACGGUCCAGACUCCUACGGGAGGCAGCAGUGGGGAAUUUUGGACAAUGGGCGCAAGCCUGAUCCAGCAAUGCCGCGUGCAGGAUGAAGGCCUUCGGGUUGUAAACUGCUUUAUGUACGGAACGAAAACGGUGAGCUCUAAUACAGUUUGCUAAUGACGGUACCGUAAGAAUAAGCACCGGCUAACUACGUGCCAGCAGCCGCGGUAAUACGUAGGGUGCGAGCGUUAAUCGGAAUUACUGGGCGUAAAGCGUGCGCAGGCGGUUAUGUAAGACAGAUGUGAAAUCCCCCGGGGCUCCAACCCUGGGAACCUGGCAUUAUCGUUGACUUGCAUUAGACUAAGAGUACAGGGUAAGAGGGGGGAAUGGAAUUUCCGCGCUGUACGCAAGUGAAAUGCGUACAAUAUGCCGGAGGAAACAACCGAUAGGCCGCAAAGGACAUCACCUGGAUCCU